GAUGAAGAACGCAGCGAAAUGCGAUAAGUAGUGUGAAUUGCAGAAUUCAGUGAAUCAUCGAAUCUUUGAACGCACAUUGCGCCCCUCGGUAUUCCGUGGGGCAUGUCUGUUCGAGCGUCAUUUAACCCCUCAAGCCUAGCUUGGUAUUGGGUGCUUGUCCCGCCUCUCGCGCGGCGACUCACCUCAAAGUCAUUGGCAGCCCGCAUCUCGCCGGCCGUGAGCGCAGCACAGACGCGCUCUUGGCAACGACGGAUCGGCUCUCCAAAAGCUUAUUUCAACCACUGACCUCGGAUCAGGUAGGGAUACCCGCUGAACUUAAGCAUAUCAAUAAGCGGAGGA
Molecule: unclassified non-coding RNA, 339 nt
Filed under: soil metagenome
Description: partial contains 5.8S ribosomal RNA, internal transcribed spacer 2, and large subunit ribosomal RNA
Rfam family: 5.8S ribosomal RNA (bases 1-120)
Source: RNAcentral